GCUGAUCCAUAUUUUCAUGGUUUGGCAAAUGUGGACCGUGAACCAUCAACGCAACCCAUCUCAAAAUUUGAGUUUGAGUUUGAAAGGACGAAAUUGUCGAAGGAAGAUGUACGAGAAUUAAUUUACCGAGAGAUAUUGGAGUAUCAUCCCCAAAUGCUUCAGGAAUACCUGAAUGGUGCAGAUCAAACUAGCUUCCUGUACCCAAGUGGAGUUGAUCGUUUCAAACGACAGUUUGCUCAUUUGGAGGAGCAUUAUGGUAAAAGCGGUGAGAGAAGCACUCCUCCACUUCAGAGACAACAUGCGUCUUUA
Long non-coding RNA from Papaver somniferum (opium poppy), 309 nucleotides. RefSeq lists it as uncharacterized. The record is from RefSeq and is a predicted model, not a curated record. NCBI's taxonomy places the organism in Eukaryota, Viridiplantae, Streptophyta, Magnoliopsida, Ranunculales, Papaveraceae. The transcript is spliced from 3 exons.